This is a long non-coding RNA of Brachypodium distachyon (stiff brome), 1170 nucleotides long. RefSeq lists it as uncharacterized. The transcript has 2 exons. The record is from RefSeq and is a predicted model, not a curated record. Lineage: Eukaryota; Viridiplantae; Streptophyta; Magnoliopsida; Poales; Poaceae.
UUAUUGCCUAAUUGCUUGAAAGUGCUUAUGCACUUAUUUGGAGGACACGGGCGCACAGCCUUCCGAACCGAUCGUUUUCUCCUGGACGAUGCGCGCCGUCCGAUUGGUUUAGGACAUUCUCGCCCUUUCCGUGCCAGGUGCCACUUCGUUCCCCCCGACACUCCCGCCUCGCGGCGAUUUCUCGGUGGUGGCGUUUUCGGCCGCACGGUGGAGGUGCAUCUCAGAAGAGGUAGGAUGUCGUCGGGCGAGACAGGCGGCGACGGGGAGGAGGUGCCGAGUAACCGGCGAUUUCUCCGCUGCGCGAGCUCCACCGGCGAAUCGACAGGGAAGGGGACGCGGGGCUUCUUCAGGUCGCAGGGCGUGGUGCUACGGGCCGCGCGAAGGUGAUUCGUGGGUCGAAUCGGGGCACGGAGGCUCAUCGGUGAGUCCUCUCGCUCGCGAUUUGCUGGGGAUGGAGUCCUCUCGCUCGCGAUUUGCUGGCGAUGGGGUUUCAGCGGCUGAAGCGGUGACGGAGAGAGAGGUGCAGCGCCGAGCAGCUUCGCGGGGGCAGCAGAGGUAGGCAGCGGACGAGGAGGAGCUGUCGAGUUCACCGUCGAAUUCGCCGUGGGGGCGCGAGCUCCAACGGGGAGUUGAUAGGGGCCGCAGGGGCUUCUGCAUGUGGCCGGGUGAGGUGAUGGGGGAUUCCCGGAGGGGUUUCUCGUGCUGAAUCGGUGUCGCGCAAGGCCGAUGAAUCGAGAUCACGACGAGCGCAUCUAGCAUCUAUUGUCGCAUCAAGUUCUCACGGGGUAUCAUGAACUCAUUUGACGAAGAAGAAGCAGUAGGAGUUCAUACGUAUGUUUUAUGUCUGCACAACAAACCGUGUGUUAUCCAGCAACUUCAAUAGCAUGCAAAUAUAGUAGGACAAUAUAUGGAAUCUGGGGCAAUGGUUUACUUGUAAAGUGGGAGCUGUUGAUGUGGGUUUUCCCAAAAGGCCAAGAACUGCUGUUGCAUUUUUGUAGUUAACAGCUUAGAGCAGCACCAUAUGCUUUUUUAGAUAAUUUGCUUUCCCAAUUCUUUGUUGAGACAUUUCUUAUGAGCUAGUACAACUACUGGAAGCAUGUUUUUCUUCCUUGCCCAGAUUUCAAUUCUGGGUUCUUUUUCAGAUAAUUUGCUUUUCCAAUUCUUUGUUGA